CGGUCUGGCGGCGAGUGGCGAACGGGUGAGUAAUGUAUCGGAACGUGCCCAGUAGCGGGGGAUAACUACUCGAAAGAGUAGCUAAUACCGCAUACGCCCUACGGGGGAAAGGGGGGGAUCGCAAGACCUCUCACUAUUGGAGCGGCCGAUAUCGGAUUAGCUAGUUGGUGAGGUAAAGGCUCACCAAGGCGACGAUCCGUAGCUGGUUUGAGAGGACGACCAGCCACACUGGGACUGAGACACGGCCCAGACUCCUACGGGAGGCAGCAGUGGGGAAUUUUGGACAAAGGGGGCAACCCUGAUCCAGCCAUCCCGCGUGUGCGAUGAAGGCCUUCGGGUUGUAAAGCACUUUUGGCAGGAAAGAAAUCGCAUGGAUUAAUACUCUGUGUGGAUGACGGUACCUGCAGAAUAAGCACCGGCUAACUACGUGCCAGCAGCCGCGGUAAUACGUAGGGUGCAAGCGUUAAUCGGAAUUACUGGGCGUAAGGCGUGCGCAGGCGGUUCGGAAAGAAAGAUGUGAAAUCCCAGGGCUUAACCUUGGAACUGCAUUUUUAACUCCCGAGCUAGAGUGCGUCAGAGGGGGGUGGAAUUCCGCGUGUAGCAGUGAAAUGCGUAGAUAUGCGGAGGAACACCGAUGGCGAAGGCAGCCCCCUGGGAUGACACUGACGCUCAUGCACGAAAGCGUGGGGAGCAAACAGGA
RNAcentral lists this ribosomal RNA (700 nucleotides) under uncultured beta proteobacterium. RNAcentral describes it as "bacterial SSU rRNA". It matches the Rfam family "Bacterial small subunit ribosomal RNA", at positions 81 to 777 of the family's 1533-position model. The record is from RNAcentral. Lineage: Bacteria; Pseudomonadati; Pseudomonadota; Betaproteobacteria.